Molecule: long non-coding RNA, 1029 nt
Organism: Bos taurus (domestic cattle)
Lineage: Eukaryota; Metazoa; Chordata; Mammalia; Artiodactyla; Bovidae
Source: Ensembl
UGAGAAGAUUCCCUGGAGGAGGGCAUGGCAAUCCACUCCAGUAUUCUUGCCUGGAGAAUACCCAUAGACAGAGGAGCCUGGCAGGCUACUAUCGAUGGGGUCACAAAGAGUUGGCUCAACACAGCAUAUUUAAAUAUACGUGUGUUGUAUAGCUAAACUGGAAGAUAAAGCAGGAGAAACUUGGCUUCAAGAAGACAGUCAUCUCUGGUGAAAGAGUGUAAGGCAUCUGGAAAAGAAAUUAAUCCCAACCCGCCUGUUCCUACAACAGAAGCAGACAGGACUUCAGCCCUAGACCUGGAGAAAGGAGGACAGGGCAACCAAGCGAAAAGCAAAGGAGAAAAGGAAAAAUAUAAGCAUCUGAAUGCAGAGUUCCAAAGAAUAGCAAGAAGAGAUAAGAAAGCCUUCCUCAGUGAUCAAUGCAAAGAAAUAGAGGAAAACAACAGAAUGGAAAAAACUAGAGAUCUCUUCAAGAAAAUUAGAGAUACCAAAGGAACAUUUCCUGCAAAGAUGGGCUCAAUAAAGGACAGAAAUGGUAUGGACCUAACAGAAGCAGAAGAUAUUAAGAAGAGGUGGCAAGAAUACACAGAAGAACUGUACAAAAAGAUCUUCACGACCCAGAUAAUCACGAUGGUGUGAUCACUGAACUAGAGCCAGACAUCCUGGAAUGUGAAGUCAAGUGGGCCUUAGAAAGCAUCACUACGAACAAAGCUAGCGGAGGUGAUGGAAUUCCAGUGGAGCUAUUUCAAAUCCUGAAAGAUGAUGCUGUGAAAGUGCUGCACUCAAUAUGCCAGCAAAUUUGGAAAACUCAGCAGUGGCCACAGGACUGGAAAAGGUCAGUUUUCAUUCCAAUCCCAAAGAAAGGCAAUGCCAAAGAAUGCUCAAACUACCCCACAAUUGUACUCAUCUCACACACUAGUAAAGUAAUGCUCAAAAUUCUCUAAGCCAGGCUUCAGCAAUAUGUGAACCGUGAACUUCCUGAUGUUCAAGCUGGUUUUAGAAAAGGCAGAGGAACCAGAGAUCAAAUUGCCA